AUUUAGUAGGAAAAUCACUGUUUCGUCAUGCUACAUCUUCAGAAGUGUUACGUAUUAUCCAGUGGUAUUUAUUUUGGUAAAAUAUUUGCUCUUUCAGGAGAAGCAACGUAAAUGGUUCUUCUGCAAAAGUUUUCAGUGAGAGCCCUUAUGUGCGCAUAGAAUCCUUGCAGGAGAUCUCGUACGCUGACUCCUCAGCAAACUUCAGGAAUCUAAUUGUGCCUCGAUUUCAUGAAAAUCCUAAGUGGAAUCUUUAUGAAUCUUCAUGAACAUCCUGAAGAACUGCAAUUACUACUAGGUAAGUAACCAUUUGUUUAUAUAUCCAUGCUUUUAUUUAAUCAUGCUGGUCUAAUUUACUUCGUAUAAACUAUUUCUAGCAGUUUUGAUCUUUUUGUGUGUGUAAGCAAAACCCUUUGGACUUGUUUGCCUGUCGCUGACUUAGCGUAGCACAUCUAUUAUUCUCCGAGUGAUUUGUAGACCUUGUACUUCAUAAUGACAUAAACGUCAAGUAUGGUAUACCAGCAAUUUAGUCAUUAGGGGUCUGACACUUAAUUUUACCCUUUCUGAUAUCUCCACAUGACAUUUAAAAAAAAAAAAUAUGUAUUCUGAUUUCACUGUUCAGGAUUUAGGUUAGGAAGGGAUUUAACAGAUACAUAAUAGGGUUUUUGUGACAGGAGUAUUUCCAGCUGACAGUAGACUGUGGAUGAAAUGAUCAGUUGCUUUAUAGUAUAAAAUCAUUGUAAGACAAGAUAAUCGCUGCUUAAUUCAUGUGAAAUGACAACCUUAGACACUAAAUACAAAACCCUAAG
This 806-nucleotide long non-coding RNA is filed under the name Struthio camelus australis. RNAcentral describes it as "lncRNA (ENSSCUG00000002747.1)". Lineage: Eukaryota; Metazoa; Chordata; Aves; Struthioniformes; Struthionidae. The record is from RNAcentral.